RNAcentral lists this ribosomal RNA (423 nucleotides) under uncultured bacterium. RNAcentral describes it as "bacterial SSU rRNA". It matches the Rfam family "Bacterial small subunit ribosomal RNA", at positions 362 to 777 of the family's 1533-position model. The record is from RNAcentral.
UAUUGCACAAUGGGCGCAAGCCUGAUGCAGCCAUGCCGCGUGUAUGAAGAAGGCCUUCGGGUUGUAAAGUACUUUCAGCGAGGAGGAAGGCAUUAAGGUUAAUAACCUUGGUGAUUGACGUUACUCGCAAAAGAAGCACCGGCUAACUCCGUGCCAGCAGCCGCGGUAAUACGGAGGGUGCAAGCGUUAAUCGGAAUUACUGGGCGUAAAGCGCACGCAGGCGGUCUGUCAAGUCGGAUGUGAAAUCCCCGGGCUCAACCUGGGAACUGCAUUCGAAACUGGCAGGCUAGAGUCUUGUAGAGGGGGGUAGAAUUCCAGGUGUAGCGGUGAAAUGCGUAGAGAUCUGGAGGAAUACCGGUGGCGAAGGCGGCCCCCUGGACAAAGACUGACGCUCAGGUGCGAAAGCGUGGGGAGCAAACAGGA